This 175-nucleotide small RNA is filed under the name Butyrivibrio sp. INlla21. RNAcentral describes it as "Clostridiales-1 RNA". It matches the Rfam family "Clostridiales-1 RNA". The record is from RNAcentral. Lineage: Bacteria; Bacillati; Bacillota; Clostridia; Lachnospirales; Lachnospiraceae.
UGAUAUAGGUGUCGUAAUUAAAACAGUCCACUUCAUGCUCGCAUGAAAGUGGACUGUUUUUAAUUUACGACCCUAACAAGUAUGAGAAAAUAGCAAUUUACGAAGUAAAUUAGCGGUUUCCGAACGCUUGAAGAAUUGCGCGAACAGCUUUAGCUGUGGAGCAAUUCGUAUAUCA